CGCGUAGGCGGUGCCACAAGUCACUUGUGAAAUCCCCGGGCUUAACUCGGGGCCUGCAGGCGAAACUGUGGUGCUGGAGUAUGGGAGAGGUGCGUGGAAUCCCCGGUGUAGCGGUGAAAUGCGUAGAUAUCGGGAGGAACACCUGUGGCGAAAGCGGCGCACUGGACCAUAACUGACGCUGAGGCGCGAAAGCUAGGGGAGCAAACAGGAUUAGAUACCCUGGUAGUCCUAGCCCUAAACGAUGAUUGCUUGGUGUAGCAGGUACCCAAUCCUGCUGUGCCGCAGCUAACGCGAUAAGCAAUCCGCCUGGGGAGUACGGUCGCAAGGCUGAA
This 332-nucleotide ribosomal RNA is filed under the name uncultured bacterium. Its description in RNAcentral is "bacterial SSU rRNA". It matches the Rfam family "Bacterial small subunit ribosomal RNA", at positions 568 to 898 of the family's 1533-position model. The record is from RNAcentral.